GUGCGACGAUGCGUAGGGGUUCUGAGAGGAAGGUCCCCCACACUGGUACUGAGACACGGACCAGACUCCUACGGGAGGCAGCAGUGAGGAAUAUUGGUCAAUGGGAGAGAUCCUGAACCAGCCAAGCCGCGUGAGGGAAGACGGCCCUAUGGGUUGUAAACCUCUUUUGUCGGAGAACAAAACCCGGGACGAGUCCCGGACUGCGUGUAUCCGAAGAAAAAGCAUCGGCUAACUCCGUGCCAGCAGCCGCGGUAAUACGGAGGAUGCGAGCGUUAUCCGGAUUUAUUGGGUUUAAAGGGUGCGUAGGCGGUCCGUUAAGUCAGCGGUAAAAUUGCGGGGCUCAACCCCGUCGAGCCGUUGAAACUGGCAGACUUGAGUUGGCGAGAAGUACGCGGAAUGCGCGGUGUAGCGGUGAAAUGCAUAGAUAUCGCGCAGAACUCCGAUUGCGAAGGCAGCGUACCGGCGCCAGACUGACGCUGAGGCACGAAAGCGUGGGGAUCGAACAGGAUUAGAUACCCUGGUAGUCCACGCAGUAAACGAUGAAUGCUGGUUGUCCGGGUCGAAUGAGACCUGGGCGGCGA
RNAcentral lists this ribosomal RNA (581 nucleotides) under uncultured bacterium. RNAcentral's name for it is "bacterial SSU rRNA". It matches the Rfam family "Bacterial small subunit ribosomal RNA", at positions 271 to 849 of the family's 1533-position model. The record is from RNAcentral.